GAUGAACGCUGGCGGCGUGCCUAAUACAUGCAAGUCGAGCGAACAGAUAAGGAGCUUGCUCCUUUGACGUUAGCGGCGGACGGGUGAGUAACACGUGGAUAACCUACCUAUAAGACUGGGAUAACUUCGGGAAACCGGAGCUAAUACCGGAUAACAUAUUGAACCGCAUGGUUCAAUAGUGAAAGGCGGCUUUGCUGUCACUUAUAGCUGGAUCCGCGCCGUAUUAGCUAGUUGGUAAGGUAACGGCUUACCAAGGCAACGAUACGUAGCCGACCUGAGAGGGGGAUCGGCCACACCGGAAAUGAGACAAGGUCCAGAAUCCUAAGGGAGGCAGCAGUAGGGAAUCUUCCGCAAUGGGCGAAAGCCUGACGGAGCAACGCCGCGUGAGUGAUGAAGGUCUUCGGAUCGUAAAACUCUGUUAUCAGGGAAGAACAAAUGUGUAAGUAACUGUGCACAUCUUGACGGUACCUGAUCAGAAAGCCACGGCUAACUACGUG
This 497-nucleotide ribosomal RNA is filed under the name uncultured bacterium. RNAcentral's name for it is "partial 16S ribosomal RNA". It matches the Rfam family "Bacterial small subunit ribosomal RNA", at positions 28 to 507 of the family's 1533-position model. The record is from RNAcentral.